Molecule: non-coding RNA, 24 nt
Filed under: Cricetulus griseus (Chinese hamster)
Lineage: Eukaryota; Metazoa; Chordata; Mammalia; Rodentia; Cricetidae
Source: RNAcentral
GAGAGAGAUGGCUGCAGGAAUGUG